CAGCUACCUUGUCCCCUGUUGUGGCAGUUGGCACAGAAAAUUCUAGAUCUUCUCCCUUUGGCUCCAUUGUGUAGGGCAUUAGCAUGCAUGCCGUGCAGAAAACUAGUCUGGGCAACUCCUUGGCAUCAUUUAUUUAUUGUGAGGAAAAUGAAAAGGGGGAUGUAAAUGAACCUUCACCACUUUGAAAUUAAACGAAGUUUCACCGUCUGUGCAACCUUUCUGACUAAUGUAUGUAUGGAAAAUGAGCCUGACCUUUGGAGAUUUGGAACAAUAGAAGUAUGUUUGUCCAAGAUGAAAUCUACAAAAUGGGCACUUAAUAAGAUCUUCACAUCUGGCCAGUUAUUUUCUUUUUCUAGUUCAAGGGCAAGAAAAUGAUCUAAAUAAAUAGAUUUUGACAGGAGGCCAAUUCUGCUGCCAGAAUUACACUAAUUAAAUAUGCAUAAUUCUCUUAAUUAGAAAAAAAUAAAAUAA
Molecule: non-coding RNA, 471 nt
Organism: Podarcis muralis (Common wall lizard)
Lineage: Eukaryota; Metazoa; Chordata; Lepidosauria; Squamata; Lacertidae
Source: RefSeq, a predicted model, not a curated record